AGGCUUAACACAUGCAAGUCGAACGGUGUGUAGCAAUACAUCAGUGGCAGACGGGUGAGUAACACGUGGGAACCUUCCUCGUUGUACGGAACAACUCAGGGAAACUUGAGCUAAUACCGUAUACGUCCGAGAGGAGAAAGAUUUAUCGCAAUGAGACGGGCCCGCGUCGGAUUAGCUAGUUGGUGGGGUAACGGCCUACCAAGGCGACGAUCCGUAGCUGAUCUGAGAGGAUGAUCAGCCACACUGGGACUGAGACACGGCCCAGACUCCUACGGGAGGCAGCAGUGGGGAAUCUUGGACAAUGGGCGCAAGCCUGAUCCAGCCAUGCCGCGUGAGUGAAGAAGGCCUUAGGGUUGUAAAGCUCUUUUGCCAGGGACGAUAAUGACGGUACCUGGAGAAUAAGCCCCGGCAAACUUCGUGCCAGCAGCCGCGGUAAUACGAAGGGGGCUAGCGUUGUUCGGAUUUACUGGGCGUAAAGCGCACGUAGGCGGGUCGUUAAGUCAGGGGUGAAAUCCCGGAGCUCAACUCCGGAACUGCCUUUGAUACUGGCGACCUUGAGGCCGGAAGAGUAGUGGAAUUCCCAGUGUAGAGGUGAAAUCCGUAGAUAUUGGGAAGAACACCAGUGGCGAAGGCGGCUAACUGGUCCGGAUCUGACGCUGAGGUGCGAAAGCGUG
RNAcentral lists this ribosomal RNA (674 nucleotides) under uncultured bacterium. RNAcentral describes it as "bacterial SSU rRNA". It matches the Rfam family "Bacterial small subunit ribosomal RNA", at positions 44 to 763 of the family's 1533-position model. The record is from RNAcentral.